Long non-coding RNA from Vespa crabro (European hornet), 575 nucleotides. RefSeq lists it as uncharacterized. Lineage: Eukaryota; Metazoa; Arthropoda; Insecta; Hymenoptera; Vespidae. The record is from RefSeq and is a predicted model, not a curated record. The transcript is spliced from 2 exons.
GAAACUUCUGGAAAACUUGCAAACGUUUGCGUUACUUUACUCUGCGAGUAACUAACGGCUUAUUGGAGCAUCGCUAAAGUCACAUGAUCAACUUGCCGAUAGAAAACGUGCACAUGCACUUUCGAAGGUUGUUCUACGUCUACCAGUCCGUAGUCUCAAAUACAAUGGAGGAUCUUCACAAGAUCGUGCUGGUCGUGGUAUCAGUUCUGCGUAAUUGGAAGAAAAAUAUUUCAUUGUAAUAUAUUAAACUACAUAAUUAUCUUAGAUAUAACAUUGUACUUUCAUUUUACAAUGAAUCCUCUCAAAUGUUAAAAUUAAAAAAUUAAUGUUAUUUUGAAUUUGUAUAUACACGAAAGGUCCUCACUCUUCUGUACAAUAAAAAAGUUAAUGUCUUAUCUUAAAAUAGCUAUAAGAAAAAUGAACACUGCAUAAUUGAAUAAAACUGAUUAAUUUCAACUGGUCCUCUCAGUAUUAAGCUGAAUAUCUGCAUAAGAAAUACCACACUAAAAACAUUUGACAAUUUUUUUUAUAAUUGUUUAAAUAUUUUUUGAAUAAAAAAAAAAAAAAAAAAAAAA